GCGGGGCGGAGUCAGGGUAGAGGCCCCCGCCGAGAAAGGGGAGAAAGAGGCGGGCCCUGAGAAUUGGCUCGAGCGCGAAGGGUCAUCUCUGAACUCUGAGACCCUGAGCAGCAGGAAGAUGGUGAAUAAAUGCAAGCCCCAGCUAUACAAUUACAACCUAGCCUGAGAGGAGGAAGAGGCCAGGAGGUGCAACUUCAGGUCCCAGGCGCCUCGCAACCAGCUUGCUCAUCUCAGGGUCCGCGAGACUGGGAUUUACACAAGCAGCACAGCAGAGGCACUCACUGAACAAAGCCCAUAGGGGUCCCUGCCUGGUCCUCACCAUGCCCGAUAGCUUUGAUCUCCACUG
This 346-nucleotide long non-coding RNA is filed under the name Homo sapiens (human). RNAcentral's name for it is "HSALNT0406192". The record is from RNAcentral. Lineage: Eukaryota; Metazoa; Chordata; Mammalia; Primates; Hominidae.